UACAGGAGGCCCGAGCGUUAAUCGGAAUCACUGGGUUUAAAGGGUGCGCAGGCGGACCCGUAUGUGUAUUGUGAAAUCCCUCGGCUCAACCGGGGAAUUGCAACGCAAACGGCGGGUCUUGAGGAAGGUAGGGGUCGUUGGAACGAUCGGUGGAGCGGUGAAAUGCGUUGAUAUCGAUCGGAACGCCGAAGGUGAAGACAAGCGACUGGGCCUUUCCUGACGCUCAUGCACGAAAGCGUGGGGAUCAAACAGG
Molecule: ribosomal RNA, 253 nt
Filed under: uncultured bacterium
Lineage: Bacteria
Description: partial 16S ribosomal RNA
Rfam family: Bacterial small subunit ribosomal RNA
Source: RNAcentral